Passer domesticus (house sparrow) is the source of this 326-nucleotide long non-coding RNA. RefSeq lists it as uncharacterized. The transcript has 3 exons. NCBI's taxonomy places the organism in Eukaryota, Metazoa, Chordata, Aves, Passeriformes, Passeridae. The record is from RefSeq and is a predicted model, not a curated record.
CCAAACCUCACCUUUCUACACUCUCUGAAUCAAUCUGGGACUGAAGCCAAAGUCACCUGCUAUAUAAGAGCGACAAAGCACAGGUGAACUGCAGUCCUGAUCAAGUUUAGACCAAACAUCCUUGUGCCAAACUCCACUCAAGAUGGGGUUUGGCAGGGGGAUAUUGCUACCAGAAUGGGCUUUCCUGUUAGCAGUUUGCUGUAUCCAUCAAAUAGGAGGUCAAACUGGAAGUCAGUUGUCUGGGAGUCUUCUACAGAAUGCUUCAAUCAAAAUCUCAGAUAACUGGAACGUCUUCUCACCACUGCUAACAAAUCUAGCAAUAACAC